UACGUAGGGGGCCAGCGUUGCUCGGAAUUACUGGGCGUAAAGGGUGCGUAGGCGGCGCGGUAAGUCGGGUGUGAAAUCUUGGAGCUUAACUCCGAAACUGCAUUCGAUACUGCCGUGCUUGAGGACUGGAGAGGAGACUGGAAUUUACGGUGUAGCGGUGAAAUGCGUAGAUAUCGUAAGGAAGACCAGUGGCGAAGGCGGGUCUCUGGACAGUUCCUGACGCUGAAGCACGAAGGCCAGGGGAGCAAACGGG
Molecule: ribosomal RNA, 253 nt
Filed under: uncultured bacterium
Lineage: Bacteria
Description: partial 16S ribosomal RNA
Rfam family: Bacterial small subunit ribosomal RNA
Source: RNAcentral